UACACGCUGUGACUAGCAUAUCAAUAAGCGGAGGAAAAGAAACUAACAAGGAUUCCCCUAGUAACGGCGAGUGAAGCGGGAAGAGCUCAAAUUUGAAAUCUUAAAGGGUUUCCCUUUACGAAUUGUAGUUUAAAGAAGUGUUUUCUGUUGAGGUUUUGGUAAAAGUUCUUUGGAAUAGGACAUCAUAGAGGGUGAGAAUCCCGUAUUUGACCUUUACUUUCAACUUUGUGAUACACUUUCAAAGAGUCGAAUUGUUUGGGAAUGCAGUCCAAAAUGGGUGGUAGAUUUCAUCUAAAGCUAAAUAUUGGCGAGAGACCGAUAGCGAACAAGUACCGUGAGGGAAAGAUGAAAAGAACUUUGAAAAGAGAGUUAAACAGUACGUGAAAUUGUCAAAAGGGAGGCGUUUGACACCAGUGUUGUUUUUCUGAAAAUCAAUUAAAGAACUGUUUAUGCUAAGCUGUUUAGACUUUAUCAGCUAUCUGUUUAGUUUUGAGCUUUUCUUUAAUGCACUUUUCAGUUAACAAGUCAACAUCAAUUUCUUUUGCUGUAAAAAAGCUUGAGGAAGGUGGCUUGAGAUUCGUCUUAAGUGUUUAUAGCCUCUUGCCUAUGCAGUCGGAGAGAUUGAGGUCUGCAGCGUAGAUCCUUCGGGGCUAAAUGCAUUUGUGCUAAGUUAUAGCAUUUUAUAGACAACUUGUUGACUAUGAUUUGUCUUGUAGCUUACUCGCUUAUGUUAUUUUACCUACGCUUAGGAUGUUGAAGAUGUAGCACAUCAU
Molecule: ribosomal RNA, 773 nt
Filed under: uncultured Neocallimastigales
Lineage: Eukaryota; Fungi; Neocallimastigomycota; Neocallimastigomycetes; Neocallimastigales
Description: partial large subunit ribosomal RNA
Rfam family: Eukaryotic large subunit ribosomal RNA
Source: RNAcentral